GAUGAACGCUAGCGGCAGGCCUAAUACAUGCAAGUCGAACGAUAUCAUCCAGCUUGCUGGAUGAGAAAGUGGCGCACGGGUGCGUAACGCGUAUGCAACCUACCUUAAUCAGGGGGAUAGCCCGGAGAAAUCCGGAUUAAUACCGCAUAAAAUCACAGCACUGCAUAGUGUAAUGAUCAAACAUUUAUGGGAUUGAGAUG
RNAcentral lists this ribosomal RNA (200 nucleotides) under uncultured bacterium. RNAcentral's name for it is "partial 16S ribosomal RNA". It matches the Rfam family "Bacterial small subunit ribosomal RNA", at positions 28 to 227 of the family's 1533-position model. The record is from RNAcentral.